CUCAGAUGGAAAUGCAGAAAUCACCCGUCUUCUGCGUCGCUCACGCUGGGAGCUGUAGAGCGGAGCUGUUCCUAUUCGGCCAUCUUGGCUCCUCCGAGUGUGAUUUUGAAGAAAGGAGGAAAGAUGUGAAAAGUGAUUAGUCAGCCACAUUCAUGGUGUUGAGAAAAGAAUUUGCUUUUCUGGAACAUAGCCUGUGAUAGCAGAACAACACCUGGCAAGAAACAGGUUAUGUUUGGCUGGAGAGUCAUUGGCACUAUCAAGAAAUAUUAAAGUGUAGAUUUGAGAGAGGAGGAGAAAGACCCAAGCAAAAUUGAAAACCAGGUGGGACCCAGACAGCAGCAAAGCAAUGGAAGCAUGUAUUUUGGUCAAUAUAGAGUUAAUACACAAUUUUGCCCCUCUUCUUCUGAUCAUGGGACUCAUAUUACCAGUCUUCACAUUUCCUUUAAAUUCAGGAAUCAGGAAGAAUUUCCAGAGUUUGCAGAUAGGGACACAUUUGCUGCUUCCAUUCUAAACAUAAGUUAUAAGACAUUUUCAACUGGAUUCCAACUUUAAUAUGUCA
RNAcentral lists this long non-coding RNA (559 nucleotides) under Pan troglodytes (chimpanzee). Its description in RNAcentral is "lincRNA". Lineage: Eukaryota; Metazoa; Chordata; Mammalia; Primates; Hominidae. The record is from RNAcentral.